This 867-nucleotide ribosomal RNA is filed under the name uncultured archaeon. RNAcentral describes it as "bacterial SSU rRNA". It matches the Rfam family "Archaeal small subunit ribosomal RNA", at positions 1 to 878 of the family's 1478-position model. The record is from RNAcentral.
CUCCGGUUGAUCCUGCCGGACCCGACUGCUAUCAGAGUGAGAUUAAGCCAUGCGAGUUAACGUAGCAAUACGUGGCGCACGGCUCAGUAACACGUAGUCAACAUGCCCAGGGGACGUGGAUAACCUCGGGAAACUGAGGAUAAACCGCGAUAGGUCAUCACUUCUGGAAUGGGUAAUGACUUAAAUCUAUAUGGCCCCUGGAUUGGACUGCGGCCGAUCAGGCUGUUGGUGAGGUAAUGGCCCACCAAACCUGUAACCGGUACGGGCUCUGAGAGGAGGAGCCCGGAGAUGGGCACUGAGACAAGGGCCCAGGCCCUAUGGGGCGCAGCAGGCGCGAAACCUCUGCAAUAGGCGAAAGCUUGACAGGGUUACUCUGAGUGAUUUCCGUUAAGGAGAUCUUUUGGCACCUCUAAAAAUGGUGCAGAAUAAGGGGUGGGCAAGUCUGGUGUCAGCCGCCGCGGUAAUACCAGCACCCCGAGUGGUCGGGACGUUUAUUGGGCCUAAAGCAUCCGUAGCCGGUUCUACAAGUCUUCCGUUAAAUCCACCUGCUUAACAGAUGGGCUGCGGAAGAUACUAUAGAGCUAGGAGGCGGGAGAGGCAAGCGGUACUCGAUGGGUAGGGGUAAAAUCCGUUGAUCCAUUGAAGACCACCAGUGGCGAAGGCGGCUUGCCAGAACGCGCUCGACGGUGAGGGAUGAAAGCUGGGGGAGCAAACCGGAUUAGAUACCCGGGUAGUCCCAGCUGUAAACGAUGCAGACUCGGUGAUGAGUUGGCUUAUUGCUAACUCAGUGCCGCAGGGAAGCCGUUAAGUUUGCCGCCUGGGGAGUACGGUCGCAAGACUGAAACUUAAGGAAUUGGCGGGGGAGCA